AAGUGGGGGCUCUUCGGACCUCACGUUAUUCGAGCGGCCGAUGUCUGAUUAGCUAGUUGGUGGGGUAAAGGCCUACCAAGGCGACGAUCAGUAGCGGGUCUGAGAGGAUGAUCCGCCACACUGGGACUGAGACACGGCUCAGACUCCUACGGGAGGCAGCAGUGGGGAAUUUUGGACAAUGGGCGCAAGCCUGAUCCAGCCAUGCCGCGUGUCUGAAGAAGGCCUUCGGGUUGUAAAGGACUUUUGUUAGGGAAGAAAAGGAUAGUGUUAAUACCAUUAUCUGCAGACGGACCAAAGAAUAA
Molecule: ribosomal RNA, 302 nt
Filed under: Kingella oralis
Lineage: Bacteria; Pseudomonadati; Pseudomonadota; Betaproteobacteria; Neisseriales; Neisseriaceae
Description: bacterial SSU rRNA
Rfam family: Bacterial small subunit ribosomal RNA
Source: RNAcentral